CCAUCAUCAUUACCAUGCAUCCAUGCACAUAUCAUCAUCAUAUCACAUGUACCAUCAUCAUUACCAUGCAUCCAUGCACUCAUCAUCAUCAUAUCACAUGUACCAUCAUCAUUACCAUGCAUCCAUGCAUUCAUCAAUCAUCAUAUCACAUGUACCAUCAUCAUUACCAUGCAUCCAUGCACAUAUCAUCAUCAUAUCACAU
This 202-nucleotide long non-coding RNA is filed under the name Eucalyptus grandis. RNAcentral's name for it is "long non-coding RNA (EGRA_LNC004428)". The record is from RNAcentral. Lineage: Eukaryota; Viridiplantae; Streptophyta; Magnoliopsida; Myrtales; Myrtaceae.